This 555-nucleotide ribosomal RNA is filed under the name uncultured marine bacterium. Its description in RNAcentral is "bacterial SSU rRNA". It matches the Rfam family "Bacterial small subunit ribosomal RNA", at positions 56 to 657 of the family's 1533-position model. The record is from RNAcentral.
UGCAAGUCGAACGCAGUAGCAAUACUGAGUGGCAAACGGGUGAGUAUAAUGUGGGAAUCUGCCUUUUGGUUUGGAAUAACACGGGGAAACUUGUGCUAAUACCGAAUAAGCCUUAACAGGGAAAGUUUUAACGCCGAAAGAUGAGCCCGCACUUGAUUAGCUAGUUGGUAAGGUAAAAGCUUACCAAGGCAACGAUCAAUAGCUGUUCUUAGAGGAAGACCAGCCACAUUGGGACUGAGACACGGCCCAGACUCCUACGGGAGGCAGCAGUGGGGAAUCUUGCACAAUGGGGGAAACCCUGAUGCAGCGAUGCCGCGUGAGUGAAGAAGGCCCUUGGGUUGUAAAACUCUUUCGUCGGGGAAGAAAAUGACUGUACCCGAAUAAGAAGGUCCGGCUAACUUCGUGCCAGCAGCCGCGGUAAUACGAAGGGACCUAGCGUAGUUCGGAAUUACUGGGCUUAAAGAGCUCGUAGGUGGUUAAAAAAGUUGAUGGUGAAAUCCCAAGGCUCAACCUUGGAACUGCCAUCAAAACUUUUUAGCUAGAGUGUGAUAGAGG